This is a long non-coding RNA of Sitophilus oryzae (rice weevil), 397 nucleotides long. RefSeq lists it as uncharacterized. The transcript is spliced from 3 exons. The record is from RefSeq and is a predicted model, not a curated record. Lineage: Eukaryota; Metazoa; Arthropoda; Insecta; Coleoptera; Curculionidae.
CGUUUUUUUUUCGAUCAUACGGUAGUAGUAGCUGAUGCCAAGUUAUUUUGAAGAACAGCUAUGAUUAAACUAUAACUGUAGACGUUCCUUCUUGUAAGAAUUUGAAGAUAGGGGGCAGCAGUGAAGCGUUAGAUUUACAAAAAAUAAAUAAUAUUUCUGAAAAGGUUAAACCUUAAAACAGACAAAAAUCAAUUAAAAAUGGUUGCCGUUGAAGGUUUAAGCACCGAACUUGUGAUAGUGGAUGGGCACAAAAGUUACAGACUAUUACAGAGUCUGUCAUCACAGAAAAUAUACAGUAAGUUGAGAAAAUAAUUGCUCAUUUUUAAUCACAUCCUUUAUUAAGAACUAUAAUUAUUUUUAUAGAUUAUGUAUACCAAUAAAGCAAGAGUAUAUUUUA